AAACUUUUCUCCCCAAAACUUCAUAAAUUAUAUUUUCAUUCAAAUAAUAACUAUAUUUAAUAUUUCUUCAAAAAUUAGAGUGUUAUAAUUCUCUCCCCCUAAAAUGAAUUUCGUCCUCGAAAUUCUAUAACUUAAAGAACCACAAAGUCUAAUCCAAAACCACUAUGCUUACGCUGAAAUUAAACUCUUUUUCUCCAUAUAAUCAAAACAACAAUCAUACACCAAUCACUUCAGAACCCAGUAAAACAAGACAAAGCCUAAUGCUCCUAUUACUAGAGUUCACUUUAGAACCUAGUAAAACAAGAUAAAUCCUAAUGCCUUUCUCAACUCGAUUUCACCCAACACCUGAAACUGUAAACUCCUUCUAACUCAUGUCUCUACCCUGAUCAUUCGUUCAUCCUUAACAUUAAGUGUGCAUUUAUCGUCAUUUCUACCUUAGGAGAUUGUGUACGAACUGGUGCCUAUCAAAAUCUCAAAUA
This 479-nucleotide unclassified non-coding RNA is filed under the name Hevea brasiliensis (rubber tree). Lineage: Eukaryota; Viridiplantae; Streptophyta; Magnoliopsida; Malpighiales; Euphorbiaceae. The record is from RNAcentral.